RNAcentral lists this ribosomal RNA (204 nucleotides) under uncultured bacterium. RNAcentral describes it as "partial 16S ribosomal RNA". It matches the Rfam family "Bacterial small subunit ribosomal RNA", at positions 328 to 540 of the family's 1533-position model. The record is from RNAcentral.
ACGCUCGACACCUACGGGAGCCAGCAGUGGGGAAUAUUGCACAAUGGGGGAAACCCUGAUGCAGCGACGCCGCGUGGAGGAAGAAGGUCUUCGGAUUGUAAACUCCUGUUGUUGGGGAAAAAGAGGAUGGUACCCAACAAGGAAGUGACGGCUAACUACGUGCCGCAGCCGCCGGUAAGUACUGAGCGGGCGUGGCGAAGGACG